RNAcentral lists this signal recognition particle RNA (98 nucleotides) under Tumebacillus avium. RNAcentral describes it as "signal recognition particle sRNA small type". It matches the Rfam family "Bacterial small signal recognition particle RNA". From Rfam's summary of the family: The signal recognition particle (SRP) is a universally conserved ribonucleoprotein involved in the co-translational targeting of proteins to membranes. Archaeal SRP consists of a 7S RNA and homologues of the eukaryotic SRP19 and SRP54 proteins. In most bacteria, the SRP consists of a 4.5S RNA and the Ffh protein (a homologue of the eukaryotic SRP54 protein). Lineage: Bacteria; Bacillati; Bacillota; Bacilli; Caryophanales; Alicyclobacillaceae. The record is from RNAcentral.
GAUCAGGUCCUGCUCACCGCAGUUCCUGAAGCGUGUCAGGUCCGGAAGGAAGCAGCACUAAGGGAGCCGCUGCGGGUGAGCAGGAGCGCCUGGUCGAA